CACUUCUCUCAAACAGAAAAAGAAAAGGGUUGAGCUAGAGUUUGAACCACCAUCUCUUUGGCCUGCCCGCCGGCAGCACGCUGGCGAGCCUGGCGUCCGUGGAGGCGAUGGGGGCGGGAGGAGCAUGGGCCAAGGGGCCGCCCGCGGUGGGGUGCUGGGCCGGGCAUGGCAGCACGGGACCCGUCGAGGACAGGGGCGCGUGUAGUGGGUGUUCCUCAGCUGCCCUGGGGUGGGCAAGGGCACCUAUGCAGGCCGCCUCUUGCGGCUCCUCGGCGUGCCCCACAUUGCCACCUGCGACCUCGUCUGCGGCGAGCUCGCCUCCCAAGGCCCCCUCUCCAAGCAGGAGUUAAGGUUGUAUUUCUGAGGGGAGCAUGCCUAUUACCUUGAUUGAGUUGACUUUUGGCUACUAUAUUAUUGUUACAACUUACCAGCGAAAUUGAAAGAGAUUCAUGUCUGAUAAGGAUGCAUGCAGAUGGGGCAAUGCACUCAUGAGCUCGCCACUAUGCUUAUAACUAGCUUGUUCAAUUUCUCCUGUGAGAUCAAGUUACUUUGAUGUGAAUUUUCACAGCUCUUUGUGCUCUUUUCUUCUUGCUGAACUAAUGUUUCCUCACUAGGAAGACGCUAAUGAUGAGCAACAUUCCUUGGGACACGCUUAAAAUUCCAAAGGACACGAGUGGUGUCCCUUCAAAUGCAUGUAGCUUCCAAUAUGUAUUAUUUAACCUUAGCGAUUGUAUUUAUAGACACUUUGUGUUGCUUCUGUUUGUAGUUGCAGAAGUUUUAACGAGUCAGAGUAGCUUCCACAUCUGUCGUUAGGGCUGACGAUUGUGAUUUUUGGCUUGUACUGAAUAAUUUUGGGAGCGGCUGGGUGAUUACAAGCCAGAAGGACUGCAUGUGAUGAGUUAAGGGCUUAAGGCACAAGAAUAACUACGACCAUUUUAGCUCCAACAGUAAGUACACAACCAAUCAACCAUGCAUUUUCACGACCCAGGUUUCUGAAUUCUGGCUGGUUGGCUCACCGGCACAGCCACAAAAUCUCACACAAUCAAAUUGCUAGCUACACAAAAAACGCUCGGAUCUACGAGUAGAAAUCCAAGGUAACACUUAGUGCCUACAAGUAUUUACUUCAUUUUUUAUCUUCAUGUAAAAAGAGAAUGCAAGCUGAAAUAUACAGUCUACAGAUUCCUCAUGUAUGUUCAAUUUUCAGAAUAGGAAGAACCAGACCGACAGCCCGUUAACUAGAUUGGUUGAAGCAGCUGUUGGUGAUUGUAGCAGAAAUUCAAAAUUUUCUACGCAUUACCAAGAUCAAUCUAUGGAGUACUGUAGCAACAAGGGGAA
Triticum aestivum (bread wheat) is the source of this 1335-nucleotide long non-coding RNA. RefSeq lists it as uncharacterized. Lineage: Eukaryota; Viridiplantae; Streptophyta; Magnoliopsida; Poales; Poaceae. The transcript is spliced from 4 exons. The record is from RefSeq and is a predicted model, not a curated record.